UUGUAAAGAUUUGAUAUUAAAAUUAUCCGCUUAAAGUAGCCUUUCUCUAUUUUUUUGCAGAACGUGGGCUAAAGAUAGCACUCAUAAUGCUGUUGUUAAACAGCAUCCUUUUUGCUAGGAUAAAUAAAUUCUUUCUUGAUUAUAAAUCUAAGAAUGGAUGGGAUGGAGAUCAUUUUCGCAGUUUGUUUCUUUUCCACAUGGCAGAAUUUUCUCCAAAAUGCUCAACUGUUAUUUCAGAUGAGGAAAUUGAGAUUCACUGAAGGAGAAAGAUUGCACUUCUUUCACUUCAGCCCAAGCUAAGAAAAAUGUGCUUCUGUUUAUCCCCCCAAGAUGACAACUUAAGUCGUUGAGUCUGUCAGUUCCAGGCAAGGGUCAAGCUCCACCGGACCAGCCAUCUAGGAAAUAACAUGGCUGGUUAUUUCCAAGCUACAUUCAAGUGUGUGUCCACUAUAGACUCAGGUACACAAUUUCUUUUACUUUAUCUAAUAGUUGGGCUAUUUUCCUUAUCAGUUUCUAAGCAAAGAAAUAUUUAUUCCAUUUUUUCUCAUUUCAGAUAAAAGAUCUUGUUGCUUCCAACUGAACUUGGGUCCUUAAGGACUUGGGUUUGUUUGUUCCUAACUCGGGCUGUGGGGGGUUGGAGAACAUAUCUAUUUUAUAGCUUCCCUUCCUUUACCUUUAAACAGAACAGCUGGUCAUGCUCCCUUUCUUGGACAAUAGAACUUGAAUGAGUCUAAAGAGGCCCAGAGCUUCAAAACACAAAAGGUUUACCUGUAGGAGGGAAGGUAAGAUAAUGUCGGUGCUUCAAGUGUCACUCAUUCUUGCAUGAAUGAUGAGAGAACUACCUGGAAUCUUUGUUGCUAAAGCUUAUGAAAAUUAAAUCAAGUUAAAGGUACACAGAUGAAGAAAUUACAUCUCAUAUAUAGGAUGACUUUCCUACAGUGACAUUGCUAAGAGACACAUGAUCAGGGUUUGAAUGUUUAAGUAAUCCCAAAACCUGUGUUCUAGCCCUAGUACUGUGUGACUGCUAGAAUACCACUAUUCUCUCUCAGGAAUAAGAUGACAUUUUCAGUGAUGAUCAUUAUGGUGUUAUGGGAGGCAGCAUGGACUUGAGCCAGACUGUGGCCAGACUGCCUUGAAUUUGAAUCUCAGAUUUGCUAUUUAUAAGCAGUGUGAUUUCAAGCAAAUUGCUUAACCUCUCAGACUCAAGUCAAUUUUCUUACCUGUAUAAUGCUAAUCAUGAUUAUCUCAUUG
RNAcentral lists this long non-coding RNA (1251 nucleotides) under Aotus nancymaae (Ma's night monkey). RNAcentral describes it as "lncRNA (ENSANAG00000039144.1)". Lineage: Eukaryota; Metazoa; Chordata; Mammalia; Primates; Aotidae. The record is from RNAcentral.